GACGAACGCUGGCGGCGUGCUUAACACAUGCAAGUCGAACGGAAAGGCCCUGCUUUUGUGGGGUGCUCGAGUGGCGAACGGGUGAGUAACACGUGAGUAACCUGCCCUUGACUUUGGUAUAACUUCAGGAAACUGGGGCUAAUACCGGAUAGGAGCUCCUGCUGCAUGGUGGGGGUUGGAAAGUUUCGGCGGUUGGGGAUGGACUCGCGGCUUAUCAGCUUGUUGGUGGGGUAGUGGCUUACCAAGGCUUUGACGGGUAGCCGGCCUGAGAGGGUGACCGGCCACAUUGGGACUGAGAUACGGCGCAGACUCCUACGGGAGGCAGCAGUGGGGAAUAUUGCACAAUGGGAGGAAGCCUGAUGCAGCAACGCCGCGUGCGGGAUGACGGCCUUCGGGUUGUAAACCGCUUUCGCCUGUGACGAAGCGUGAGUGACGGUAAUGGGUAAAGAAGCACCGGCUAACUACGUG
RNAcentral lists this ribosomal RNA (468 nucleotides) under uncultured bacterium. RNAcentral's name for it is "partial 16S ribosomal RNA". It matches the Rfam family "Bacterial small subunit ribosomal RNA", at positions 28 to 507 of the family's 1533-position model. The record is from RNAcentral.